ACAGCAGCCGCCGCGGGAAUACGGAGGGUGCAAGCGUUAAUUGGAAUUACUGGGCGUAAAGCGCACGCAGGCGGUCUGACAAGUCAGAUGUGAAAUCCCCGGGCUUAACCUGGGAACUGCAUUUGAAACUGUCAGGCUGGAGUCUUGUAGAGGGGGGUGGAAUUCCAGGUGUAGCGGUGAAAUGCGUAGAGAUCUGGAGGAAUACCGGUGGCGAAGGCGGCCCCCUGGACAAAGACUGACGCUCAGGUGCGAAAGCGUGGGGAGCAAACAGGAUUAGAUACCCCAGUAGUCCCUGUCUCUUAUAC
Molecule: ribosomal RNA, 305 nt
Filed under: uncultured bacterium
Lineage: Bacteria
Description: partial 16S ribosomal RNA
Rfam family: Bacterial small subunit ribosomal RNA
Source: RNAcentral